UACGUAGGGGGCAAGCGUUGUCCGGAAUCAUUGGGCGUAAAGAGCGCGUAGGCGGUCCGGUAAGUCCGCUCUGAAAGUCCGGGGCUCAACCCCGGGAGGCGGGCGGAUACUGUCGGGCUAGAGUCCGGAAGAGGCGAGUGGAAUUCCUGGUGUAGCGGUGAAAUGCGCAGAUAUCAGGAGGAACACCGGUGGCGAAGGCGGGUCUCGUGGGCAGUAACUGACGCUGAGGAGCGAAAGCGUGGGGAGCGAACAGG
Molecule: ribosomal RNA, 254 nt
Filed under: uncultured bacterium
Lineage: Bacteria
Description: partial 16S ribosomal RNA
Rfam family: Bacterial small subunit ribosomal RNA
Source: RNAcentral